UACAUACGUGAUAGUUAGAAGCUUGAGAUUGUGUGUAUCAAGGUACAUGGUAGUAGAGCGAAAGAGAGUCAAAAGGUGUUGCUUGGAAAUCACAGAAGUAAAGCAAUUAAGCAUCUUCCACACAACAAUCAUAAGUUGCAAUCUAAAAUGAUACAAUCCAAAAACCCGUUCAUGGUUUUGUUUAUAGCGAGGUGGUGGAGGAAAUAAGAUACGGCCCCGUCGUUGGUCAUGAUAAUGGGUGGUGUGGUGAGGCCGGUGGCGAGCUCCUUACUGUUAGAAGGCCAAUAAGUCAGAGUAGACGGCGGAGGAGGGUCAGUGAACGUGUAGAACUUCUUCGUGACAUUAACUUGUAGCAGCAAAAAAAUGGAAAACACAGAAGAGAAGGAGAUAAGAUUGACUUUUUCAUCAAUAUGUAAUAUUGACCGUAGAUGAAUAAAGUAGAAAGGUUAAUCCAAGGGCUGAAAAAGGACACAGAUAUCAGUCUUGUCAAUAAAAAGCAUAUUAAAUCUGGGCCGUCUAUGAGGCAUGAAGAUCAACGGUUGAGGUCAUCUCCCGCUAAUAACAACAUUUAGUUAGCAUGUGAAUUAGUUAAGAGAUAACUAGUUAGUUAGGUAAAAAGGAAGUUGUUACUAGAAACUGUGUGAAGAGCAAAAACUGUCUUUUUAUGAUAUAAAAAAGACAAAACUGCCUUAUGGUGUAAUUCUCUUUAAAAAAUACUUAGUGUAUGCUUUAAAUGUCAUUUUAGAAUAACUAACUAUGUACUUUUUAUUUGUGAAUGUCAUUGAAUUAAUAUUACAUUUGUUUAUACAUCCAAUAAUAUAUUCCAAAAAUAAUAUAUACACGAUAUCACAAAUAAUAUUUAAAAAAAUGAUAUAUACAUGAUAAUAAUUUGUGAAAUCACAAAAUAUUUCAUCGGCUAUUAUAGUUUAGAGUAAUUCGUCCUGUAUAUUAUUUAACGCCAAACGUCCAAAAUUUAGAAAUAAAUAACUAGGCAGUUUCACUAUUAAAAAAAAGUUCAAAGACAUUAUGAACAAAUAAAUUAAAUGAUUCAGAUAAAUUAAAAUAGCUAGCCACACCACAUAUAUAUAUAUAUAUAUAUAUAUAUAUAAUUGAAAUGUCUUGUAAGUCAAGUUUAAAUGAUUGUUCAAUUUUUUGUAUAUCAUUAUCUAUAAGAUACACAAAUAGCAAAAACCUAUUAACUACACAUUUUGUUUUGUUUAUAGUUAUAUACUUUAUAACAUGCUAGCACAAAGUUCUAAGAAAUUAUGAAUAACUUUCAGUUAAAUGAUCGGUUAGAUUCAAACAGUACACACCACAUAUUUAUAUAACUGAUAUGAUUUGUCAGUCAAGUCUACAUGAUUAUUCAUAUUUUGUGUAUUAAAAUUAUCUAUAAGAUAUUCAAAUAAAAAAACUGCUAGCAACUAAUUUUAUUGUUAGUUAUCUAUAACAUGCAAACAAUUUUUUUUUAAAACAAAUUAAAACAGAUUAUUUUUUAAUAUCUGUAAAAUGAUUUAUCUGUUUUUACAAACGAUAUAGCUUUCUAAAUGUUUGAUUAUGAAAAAAGUAACUACAAUUUUUUUUAUAUCUAAAAUUGUUUUUAACAUUAACUUUAAAAUGAAAUUAUAUUACAUUUUUUGUAUAUCAUUAUCAAUACAAUAUGCACCUAAUGAAAGUUACAAAUUGUAUUUUUUUAUCUUUAUUCAUCUAUAUAAUAUAUAAGGAAAUUUUCAAGUCUCUUCUUUCUUAAACAAUUAAUUUAAAAUGUGAAAUAAUUUACCAGAUUUUACAGUAAAUAUUGAAUUUACAUAUUUGUUAAUGGAAAAUCUUAAAUAUGUUUACAAUCUAAAAUUAAUUUUAUUUUUUAUGUAAUUUAUAUUAUAUAUAGUUUUGUAUAUAAUAAUAUAUAUAAUACAAAAGUAAAAAAAAAUGCUAACCAUUAAUUUUAUCUUGUUUUAUUAUCUAUAAAAUAUGCGAAGGAAAGUUUUUAAAUCUUUGUUUUCUUGAAAAAAAUAUUUUCUUAAAUAGACAAAAUAGUUUAUGACACAAAUCCGAGCAUUGAUGACACAAUUUCUUUAAAUACAUAUUUGUGUACAAUUAUUGUUAAGUAUGAUUUGUUUGGUUAUUGAUGUAAGUUAGUUUUUUUGUUUAAUUUUUUUAGCUAAAAUAAAUUAAUAAAAUAAAAUAAAUCAUUAACCAAUCAAAUUAAAAUAAUUAACUAGAGAGAUUUCUUAUGAUUAAUACAUCAACAAAAAUCAGUUAAGUGGCUUCUUACUUAAUAUUAUCUAUAACAUACUCAAAUAACAAAAACUGUUAGCUACUAAUUUAUUUCCAGUUAUCUAUAACAUACAAAGGAAUUAAAAAAAAACCUUAAACAUAAUAUUUUUAAAUAUGUAUUAAUUUAUUUAUCAGUUUUUACAAACGAUAUAGUUUUGUACUGGUUUGAUGAUGAAAAAGUAAUUUAAUUUUUUUAAAAUCUAAUAUUAUUUUAACAUUUAAUUUCAAAUGAAAUUAUAUAUACAUGUUUUGUAUAUCAUUAUAUAUAUAAUAUGCAACUAAUGAAUAUUAUUAGUUGUAUUUUAUUUUUAUUUAUCGUUAUAAGAUACAAGGAAAUUUUCAAAUCUCUAUUUUCUUAAACAAUUAAUUUAAAUGUGAAUUUACUUACCAGAUUUUAUAGUAAAUUUAAUUACAGAUUUGUUAAUGUAAAAUCUUAAGUCAGUUUACUAUCUAAAAUUUCAUUUAUUUUUUACUUCAGAUUAUAUUAUAUAUAUAUAUAUAUAUAUAAAAUCUGUAUAAUACAUAUGUAAUAAAAUUACUAACCACUAAUUGUAUCUUUUUAUUAUCUAUAAAAUAUGCAAAGGAAAGUUUGUAAAUCUCUGUUUUUUUUUGAAAAUUUUAUUUUCUUAAAUGGACAAAAUAAUUUAUGACACAAAUCUAAGCAUUGUUGACUCAAUUUCUUUAUAUACAUAUUUGUGAUACCAUUAUUGUUAAGUAUUAUUUAUUUGGUUAUUGAUGUAAGUUAGUUUUUGAUUUAAUUUUUAACUAAUCUAAAUAAAUAAAUAAAAUCUUUAAGUAAUCAACUUAAAAUAAUUAAUUAGGGAGCUUUCCUAUGAUUGAUACAUCAGCAGAAAUCACGUAAGUGACUUCUCAAUUAACAUUAUCUAUAAGAUACUCAAAUAACAGAAACAAUAACCGAUUUAUGAAGAUUGCUAAUUUUGAUAAAAAGUAGAGUACGACAUUGGAAAAAUAUGAAAGUAAAAUUUCUGAAAAAAACAUUUGUUCUUGGGAAUUUGUUGGCCUUUCUGUUAAUAAAAUGUUUUCAGUUAACUACUUAAAUGACAAGAAUAAAAGUCAUUACGGAUUUAUAGUAUAUAUUAACAUAAAACGGUUAAAUAAACAGUGUUUCAAAAUAGAAAAAAAACAUGACCAUAAUACUUAUUUCAAAUACAGUACUUUUAAAGACUUUCUAUUCAUUAACGGGUUACGCUUACAUCAAUCAAUAAAUUAUAUAAUACUGAUCAGGAACAAGAUACACCCGCGAGUCGACUCGGUGAGAAUCGCUCUGACACGGUUUUUCUAUCAAGCGAGUUGAUCUCUGAGCCACCCAAUUCUAUUGACUCUCUUGACUCGGGAAUCGUCGUGAGGGAUCCCGUCUUGUCGAAAACGACGUAGUAUUUAUCCAUAUCUACGCCGUGACAUGCCUUAAGGGGAGUGUUUGACUGUUUCUGUCUGAAGAUUGA
Long non-coding RNA from Brassica rapa (field mustard), 3737 nucleotides. RefSeq lists it as uncharacterized. The record is from RefSeq and is a predicted model, not a curated record. NCBI's taxonomy places the organism in Eukaryota, Viridiplantae, Streptophyta, Magnoliopsida, Brassicales, Brassicaceae.